Molecule: ribosomal RNA, 256 nt
Filed under: Octopus sp. octo103
Lineage: Eukaryota; Metazoa; Mollusca; Cephalopoda; Octopoda; Octopodidae
Description: partial 16S ribosomal RNA
Source: RNAcentral
UGGGCCUGCUCGGUGAUUAAUAUUUUAACAGCUGCGGUAUUAUAACUGUACUAAGGUAGCAUAAUAAUUUGCUCUAUAAAUUAGGGCUAGAAUGAAUGGUUUGACGAGAAUUAAACUGUCUCUACUUUAUUUGUUAGAAAUUAAUUUUUAUAGUGAAAAAGCUUGGAUGGUUUAAAGGGACGAAAAGACCCUAUUGAGCUUGUGUUAAUAAAUAAAUACUANNNUAUAUAUAUNNNNNNNNNAUAUAUAUAUAUAU